RNAcentral lists this ribosomal RNA (482 nucleotides) under uncultured bacterium. RNAcentral describes it as "partial 16S ribosomal RNA". It matches the Rfam family "Bacterial small subunit ribosomal RNA", at positions 30 to 507 of the family's 1533-position model. The record is from RNAcentral.
AUUGAACGCUGGCGGCAUGCUUUACACAUGCAAGUCGAACGGUAACAGGCCGCAAGGUGCUGACGAGUGGCGAACGGGUGAGUAAUGCAUCGGAACGUGCCCAGUCGUGGGGGAUAACUACUCGAAAGAGUAGCUAAUACCGCAUACGAUCUAUGGAUGAAAGCGGGGGACCGUAAGGCAUCGCGCGAUUGGAGCGGCCGAUGUCAGAUUAGGUAGUUGGUGGGGUAAAGGCUCACCAAGCCAACGAGCUGUAGCUGGUCUGAGAGGACGACCAGCCACGCUGGGACUGAGACACGGCCCAGACUCCUACGGGAGGCAGCAGUGGGGAAUUUUGGACAAUGGGCGCAAGCCUGAUCCAGCAAUGCCGCGUGCAGGAAGAAGGCCUUCGGGCUGUAAACUGCUUUUGUACGGAACGAAACGGCUCUGGUUAAUACCCGGGGCUAAUGACGGUACCGUAAGAAUAAGCACCGGCUAACUACGUG